UUGAAAAAAAUCUGUCUGAAACUGGCAGGUUAAAUUCUGAACAAUCUAUUAACAGUCUCUUCUCUAGAUUAAAGCAAUAAUUUUCAAAACUAUCAACAGAGUUUAAAUGUACAAGAUCUAUUUCAGGCCUUUCCAGCCAUUGCUAUUGAUGCUCAGAGGGUUCUGAAAAUUCGCCAGUGGCACCUGCUCUGUUUCCUCUGUCUCUUGGCCAUGACCGCUGUAAUUUUUGACAAGGGGCCAUAGAUCUCCUCAGCAUAUUUUCCACCCAGACCUGGAAUCCAUCAGAUGCCAUUUUCUCAAGGAGAAAAAUAAAGUUCUGAGACCAGAAUCAAAAUCCCCGAGGGGGUCACCGCUACUGACUUGUCACUGCUCCUGGGACUCCUCAGCGGACAGGUAACAGACCAACAGGAGAAGCUGCAGCUGGCAGUGCUUCUGUGUGUUGCUAGCAACGGGAAACCAUGACAGAGCAGGGCCCCACCGAGAGCCGUCUGCAUUUGCUCAUCUGGGAUGAGGGACCACAGCAUGGCUGUUUAUUAAGUGCUCUGGAUCCUGGUCAUUUCUGGGAAAUACAAUGCAAACAGAGAGAAUUCAAGGGCCAUGGUUGCUGCCAUCCGUGGCUGGCGCUGUCGUGGGAUGAUGAGGUUCACAGAUGAGCAUUAGUACAAGGGGUCGUGAUGACGCACUGGGCGGAUUUUGGACAACUCUAGAAAUUUUGGAGAAAGUGGUGCUGUGAAGGUGGUGUGAUUCUCUGAUACGUGAGAUUUGGAGACAUGACGGUUGGAUGAAUUGCCUUGAGGUCAAAGGUUUGGGCUGUUCUCCAGAAAUUACGGCCUCCCGAAACUGCCAGAUAUGGAUGACUCUCCUUAUUUAGAGUUGUGCUAAGCACCUUCCUCUUGCAUCAUUCAAUCCAAAGAGCUUGGGCCACAGCAGCUCUUGGAUAAGCUGGUCGCUUGCUGGCAUCUGGAAGAAGUCGUUCCUAAUGGGCUUUCCAUCUGCUAAGGAGGAGAAGCUGAAAAACAUGGUUUCCACACCCCAGCUCCGUUGAACACGCAGAGAACCUAAUCUUUGUCUGACUGACCUACCCUGUGACUGAAUUUUGCAAUGAAACCUUAUUGGGUUGUUAUACACCAUUGCAACCGGGCACCUUAAAAUUAGAUGGAAGAAACAGAAUAUGUUACCAGAGGAUGUGCUGACUGGAGGAAAAGAGAAAGAUGAGAUGUUGAUCUUGGAGCAGACGGAAGGUGGCACCCCGGAAAGGAGGUCGCAAGUUAUCUCAAGUACCUGAGACCGCUGCACUGCCAAUCUCAGAAAACAAGACCUAGGAUUGCGAUUCUUACAGAAUGACAGCUGAGAUGUCACCGCGACUGUUUAGCGGCUUUUAAAUGCUGUCAGUUUUGAAAAAGCCUUGACACAGCUGCCACCGACAACAAUCCAUUGCAUUAAAAUGACUGCCCUCUGACUGA
Phacochoerus africanus (Common warthog) is the source of this 1463-nucleotide long non-coding RNA. RefSeq lists it as uncharacterized. The record is from RefSeq and is a predicted model, not a curated record. The transcript has 8 exons. NCBI's taxonomy places the organism in Eukaryota, Metazoa, Chordata, Mammalia, Artiodactyla, Suidae.